AACGCACGAGACCUGCGGACCUGCGGAGGGAUCAUUACUGAGUUUCACAACUCUCUAACCCUGUGUGAACUGAAGUCUGGUUGCUCAGGCAGGCGGCCCCCGGGGGGAGCCGCAGCUUCUCUGAAGCGCCUGCCGGAGGAUACCUAAACUCGUUUUAACAUAUAAUCUUCUGAGUAAUAAAAAAAAAAUGAAUCAAAACUUUCAACAAUGGAUCUCU
RNAcentral lists this unclassified non-coding RNA (217 nucleotides) under soil metagenome. RNAcentral describes it as "partial contains 5.8S ribosomal RNA, internal transcribed spacer 2, and large subunit ribosomal RNA". The record is from RNAcentral.